RNAcentral lists this unclassified non-coding RNA (411 nucleotides) under soil metagenome. RNAcentral describes it as "partial contains 5.8S ribosomal RNA, internal transcribed spacer 2, and large subunit ribosomal RNA". The stretch from base 1 to 122 matches the Rfam family "5.8S ribosomal RNA", at positions 35 to 154 of the family's 154-position model. The record is from RNAcentral.
GAUGAAGAACGUAGCGAAAUGCGAUACUUGGUGUGAAUUGCAGAAUCCCGUGAACCAUCGAGUCUUUGAACGCAAGUUGCGCCCGAAGCCGUCAGGUCGAGGGCACGCCUGCCUGGGCGUCACACGCCGUUGCCCCCCCGCGCCCCGCACCCAACGCUUUGGGAGCGACCGCGGGGCGGGCUGAUGAUGGCCUCCCGUGCGCUCCGCCGCGCGGUUGGCCCAAAUACCGAGUCCCCGGCGACGUGCGCCACGACGAUCGGUGGUUGAGAGACCUCUGUCGCAAGUCGUGCGCGCCCGUCGCGUCACGCGGGCUCGCAUAGCGCCUCGCGCCGCACCCGGUGCGGAGCUUUCAACGCGACCCCAGGUCAGGCGGGGUUACCCGCUGAAUUUAAGCAUAUCAAUAAGCGGAGA